RNAcentral lists this non-coding RNA (248 nucleotides) under Bacillus sp. (in: firmicutes). RNAcentral's name for it is "Bacillus sp. T-box sequence". It matches the Rfam family "T-box leader". Rfam says of the family: Uncharged tRNA acts as the effector for transcription antitermination of genes in the T-box leader family. Lineage: Bacteria; Bacillati; Bacillota; Bacilli; Caryophanales; Bacillaceae. The record is from RNAcentral.
GAACAAGCGAUGAACGGGAAGAGUAGGCCAGGACGCCUUGGCAGAGAGGGAGAAUCAUCUGCUGCGAGAUUCUCUAAGGCAGGGAAUGGCCGAAGGUCGCCCGGGAGUUGUUUCGGUGAAGCGGUGCCGCUUAGCCGAAACCGGUCAACAGCCGUUAUGUGUCAGAGGGAACGCACGUCCCCGCCUGUUUUCCGGGAGGUCGUGCGUUAACAAAGGUGGUACCGCGAAACAAUCCUUUCGUCCUUUGG